RNAcentral lists this long non-coding RNA (530 nucleotides) under Brassica napus (rape). Its description in RNAcentral is "long non-coding RNA (BNAP_LNC006037)". Lineage: Eukaryota; Viridiplantae; Streptophyta; Magnoliopsida; Brassicales; Brassicaceae. The record is from RNAcentral.
UAUUUUUAUCAAUAGUAUCAUAAUAUAUAUACACUAAAUAUAGCUCAAAAUAAAAACUGUAAAAUACAAUUAGAUGCACAACAUACAAAAAGUAUAACAUUAAUUUCUUAAAAUUAUAAUUUAAUAUAUAAAUUAAAUAUAACUUAUCUGAUUAUAGAACAACUUUAAUAGUAUACACAUCUAAUAAAUAUAAAAUUAAAUAGAAAUGUAAACUAACUUAUAUUUUUAUAAAUGAAAUCCAUUAACAUAUAUUAAAAAAAUUAAGAUGUAAUAUUUUAUAUUUAUAGAAUAAUACAUAUCCACUUGAUAGGACUAUGUUAACGAAAAAAACAGAUAUUGGAAAUGCCACAUGACAUGACCUUACAUGAAAAAAUGAUACACAGAAUAUUAGAAUUUAGAAUGCACAAAAUGACAAAAUAUACAGGAAAGAUAAGAAUUUGGCUCUGAAUUUAGAAGUUGGCAGUGUCUGUUUCUGGCAACACCAUAGACACUCACCCAAGUAUGACGACGUGGAACUACAUGGCUGCACC